Molecule: long non-coding RNA, 382 nt
Organism: Lathyrus oleraceus (garden pea)
Lineage: Eukaryota; Viridiplantae; Streptophyta; Magnoliopsida; Fabales; Fabaceae
Exons: 4
Source: RefSeq, a predicted model, not a curated record
AUUUUUGUUUUGCAGUUGGAGAGGGUAAAACUCAAAGUUAAGGCAGCUAGCUCACAAGAGGAGGUUGAAUCACUCAAGUUUGCUGAAAAGAAUCUUAUUAACAAGAUUUAUACUGAUUCUGCUGAAGCCAAGAUUCCAGCUGUUCUUGAUUAUCUUGGAACUGUAAUCGAGAAAAAAAAGGUUGGUUGUAUCCGGAUUGAUGGAGGUACACCUUCUGGAUCAAGGCAACAGUUGGUUACAGAGUUUCAGGAAAAAGAUUCUAUCAAGGCAGCAGUGCUAUCUAUAAAAGCUGGAGGUGUCGGGUUAACAUUGACUGCUGCCAGCACCGUCCUCUUUGCAGAAUUGUCUUGGACUCCUGGUGAUCUAAUUCAGGCCGAAGACC